UACGUAGGGUGCAAGCGUUGUCCGGAAUUAUUGGGCGGAAAGAGCUCGUAGGCGGUCUGUCACGUCUGCUGUGAAAACUCGGGGCUUAACCCCGGGCCUGCAGUGGGUACGGGCAGACUAGAGUGCGGUAGGGGAGACUGGAAUUCCUGGUGUAGCGGUGAAAUGCGCAGAUAUCAGGAGGAACACCGGUGGCGAAGGCGGGUCUCUGGGCCUGUUCUGACGCUGAGGCGCGAAAGCUAGGGGAGCGAACAGG
RNAcentral lists this ribosomal RNA (253 nucleotides) under uncultured bacterium. Its description in RNAcentral is "partial 16S ribosomal RNA". It matches the Rfam family "Bacterial small subunit ribosomal RNA", at positions 524 to 776 of the family's 1533-position model. The record is from RNAcentral.